CUCUGCUGAUCUCUGAGGAGAGUUGUGAAUUCCUGUGAGGUGAGGUUAACUUUUGUUCUUUUUUAUACACCUGCAUUGACCGUCUCCAUUUUUCCCCUGACAUAAAUGACUCCGUUUGAGUUUGGCUCUACAUUGUCAUUGCAGGAACUGGCUCAGAGAGGACCUGCUUCCCUUGCCUCUCACGUCUUAUGUUGAUCAAGGGCUUCCGGCUGUGUUGGCAGGUGUCACAGAGGAGGGAGGAUCACGGAUGUGUGAGCGCCACAUGACUUAUUCGGGGAAAUGGAUCAAAUCCAGACUGGGUUGCCAAGGAAGCCAGAGUGGAGGCUGUCGGAAGGAGGGUUUGAAUGAACUUUGGCUGCUCCACACGCAGGCUGAUUACUGAGGAAACAUCAAAAGCUUCACCCGAAUGACUCAUCACCCAGAUCCAACAGAGGAACAGAAUUUGGGGGUGGUAGAAAAAAAUCAAUAAAACACACUGCCCAAAGGAUUUUCAAGCUUGAGGAUGGGAGAGUGUAAAGGAGCAAUCGUGUAAACAAUAAAUGACGAUAUAAAGAAGAAUGAGAAGUAAUGAUCAAAAGGAGAUCAUUAAGAGGAUGUAACCUCUAGUUGACCUGAGGGCUGAAUCUGGGCAAUAGGAACCUCUUCAGCCCCUCCCCUUGGAAUGUAUGUCCUGCGCACCGUUUCCUACAGCUGGAGCUGUUGUCAAGGAUGCAACUUUGAAAGAGCAACCUGUUGUUGAGGCCAUUGAUGGUACAUGUGACUGAACUAGGCUUUCCACAUCACUAGGCCCACGUGCAACAAGUAAGCAGGCAUAGUCUUUCUGGAAGAGGAGCACGGGCACCUGCUUGCUAAUUUCCCUCACUACCAAGAAACCUGAAUCAUCACCAGAGACCCCAAACAUAGGAUUUUGAAAACAACAAAGUAGAUGAGAGCAGAGAAAAGGAGGGACAGAUGCACAAUGGGAGACAAAGAAAGAACAAAAGGGACAGGAGGGGCACGAUACAUCUGGCUGUGCCUGAAGCAAGAACUACUGUUGGAUUUUUUACUAACAUGAGCCAAUCACUUCCGUUGACUUUAACCAUCUAUACAAAAUCACAGAAGACUGGCAUAUGGAGGUUAACCCAAGGGAUUUGGGGAGAACUUUCUCCUCCAUUAAAAUUUUGAGAAAGAUA
Molecule: long non-coding RNA, 1172 nt
Organism: Herpailurus yagouaroundi (jaguarundi)
Lineage: Eukaryota; Metazoa; Chordata; Mammalia; Carnivora; Felidae
Exons: 7
Source: RefSeq, a predicted model, not a curated record